UCUCUCAUUACUCAUUUAGAUCCUAGCAGUGUUUUGCACCUAGUCUAUAUGUCAACUUGUUGCUCUUUUUUACAGGCAGAAGGAAUUUUUAAAUUUCCCAUCGGAUGUUCAGGGGUGGUGGAGUCAUCCAUAGAGGCUUCUGUUCAUAGAGGCAUAUCCAGCGAAAAUGCCGAGACAACUUUCGUAGUGGAAGGGGACCUGAGUCAAAGAAAGCACCCCAAGCUCUAUGAGAGUUACCUGGUGGUGUUCCGUGCGGAGGAAGGGAAAUGUAUGCCCGGCCGGGGUUUAUCAAACAGAAGAUGAUUUCAGUCGGAAUGAUUUGGACCAUACCCACGAACCUAGCCCAAACGAACGACCCCGCGUCCUUCUCAACAGGGCAGUUUCGAAGCGCGGGUUGGAAAAUCCAUACAUGGCAUGUGGAGUCAUUAAUUACGAAAGCGGCAAGGCGAGACAUGGCCAACCCGCCUUCUAUAAUAUUCACUAAUGAAGGAACAUUGAAGAGGUUCUGCAAUAGAAAAAGACAGGGAAACAGACCCACAGAUCCAUCAGACAUUGAUGAGUUGAAAAUAGAUUAUUUACCUAUUGAUUUUUUAUUAAAAGAUAUCAGAAUCGAGGGAGCGCG
This is a non-coding RNA of Styela clava, 622 nucleotides long. NCBI's taxonomy places the organism in Eukaryota, Metazoa, Chordata, Ascidiacea, Stolidobranchia, Styelidae. The record is from RefSeq and is a predicted model, not a curated record.